GGGCUAAUGAUGAUAAAUCUUAUCUUAGCGGAUUUCAAUGAGAUGUCUGUCAAUGAUUUGAUUUGUUACACACACUGAAGCCU
Telopea speciosissima is the source of this 83-nucleotide small nucleolar RNA. RefSeq annotates it as small nucleolar RNA R11/Z151. NCBI's taxonomy places the organism in Eukaryota, Viridiplantae, Streptophyta, Magnoliopsida, Proteales, Proteaceae. The record is from RefSeq and is a predicted model, not a curated record. The transcript has a single exon.